GGGGAAUAUUGCGCAAUGGGGGAAACCUGGCGCAAGCAAACCGCGGAGGUGGAAAAGGGUUUUCGAUCCUAAAGCCCCUGUAAUUGGGGAGGAAAAAAAGCCGUUACCAAAGAGGAAAGUCCGGGCAAAUUCCUUCCCAGCAGCCGCGGUAAUACGUAGGGGACAAGCGUUGUCCGGAUUUACUGGGCGUAAAGGGCACGCAGGCGGUUUUUUAAGUCAGAUGUGAAAGGUACCGGCUCAACCGGUAACAUGCAUUUGAAACUGAAAGACUUGAGUAUUGGAGAGGCAAGUGGAAUUCCUAGUGUAGCGGUGAAAUGCGUAGAUAUUAGGAGGAACACCGGUGGCGAAGGCGGCUUGCUGGACAAAUACUGACGCUGAGGUGCGAAAGCGUGGGGAGCAAACA
This 403-nucleotide ribosomal RNA is filed under the name uncultured Acetobacterium sp. RNAcentral describes it as "bacterial SSU rRNA". It matches the Rfam family "Bacterial small subunit ribosomal RNA", at positions 356 to 774 of the family's 1533-position model. The record is from RNAcentral. Lineage: Bacteria; Bacillati; Bacillota; Clostridia; Eubacteriales; Eubacteriaceae.